Molecule: long non-coding RNA, 774 nt
Organism: Schistocerca piceifrons (Central American locust)
Lineage: Eukaryota; Metazoa; Arthropoda; Insecta; Orthoptera; Acrididae
Exons: 3
Source: RefSeq, a predicted model, not a curated record
UUAAGUGGUCUGUGUAAUUUCUAUCAGUAUACAUGGCGAAGAAAAAGUAAUACUGAUGGACAGUUUAUUUAUGAUUAUACAAGUAUGUCAUAAUCUCAGAUAUGAAGAGAUACCAUAUGUAAUGGUACUCAGUAAAUCAAUAUGUUUGCGAAACAAAUCGUAUAAGCUUUUGUAAUGUCUGUAGGAUGAGUGGAUUUCACAGUAUUGAUGUUCAUUUAUGUUGCAGUUGCUCCCAAAAUGCGAUGCUAGAUUGCAAAGUCUUUGCCCUAGGCUUUUCGUUCAGAGACGGCAUUGAAACUGAUAUAGUCUUCUGUUCCACUUGCAGUUCAUUUGGAGGUGAGGAUGAGAGGAAGCUGCUGUCAUCUGAAGUGUAUCCAGGUGUUGAGUCAUCCUCCUGUCUAAUCACACUGUUCCUCUGAAUGCUUCUCGGUGGAGACUGGCUCGAAUCAUGUCCAUGAGUGUACAAGUUUCGAUCCAUCUGCGCUGGCAAGUUUCGUUUGAGGCCUUCACGAAACUCCCUGGAGAUACUCCUUGCUGUCAGGCUGUGUACCUAUGUUCAUUUUCAUUGUUAGAUUUCAAUCGGGAUGAUGUGCUCUGCAUUCUGCCAUAUUUUAAAUUGACAACCAAUCUCUUGAGGACUGAACAUUUUCAUCACAACUGGACAAGAAUGUUGGCUCAUCUACUGGUUAUUGUAUGAUAUAAGUUAUGAAAUGAAUAUGUAUCCCGGAAGAUGUAGCUGUAACAUUGCAAAACUAGUUGUAUCAUAAAUAAAGG